Molecule: long non-coding RNA, 207 nt
Filed under: Lathyrus oleraceus (garden pea)
Lineage: Eukaryota; Viridiplantae; Streptophyta; Magnoliopsida; Fabales; Fabaceae
Description: Pisum sativum (pea) long non-coding RNA (PSAT_LNC029934)
Source: RNAcentral
UUUUUGUCUUUUUGUUUUCAAAAAAGAGGGAUCUCUUAUGAGAUCCUCAAGAGAGACGGUGAGAGUCCCUUUUUUAGAAGGAGAGAUUUUUAUUAUUUUUUUGUCCUCUUUUGAAAAGUGAGAGAGAGGAGAGAGAUAUCCUUCUAUUCCUUUUCUUAUUUUUAAUUUAUUCCUAUUUUUUGAUUGGUUGAAACAAAAAUUACAUAG